GACGAACGCUGGCGGCGUGCUUAACACAUGCAAGUCGAACGCUGAAGCUUGGUGCUUGCGCUGGGUGGAUGAGUGGCGAACGGGUGAGUAAUACGUGAGUAACCUGCCCUUGACUCUGGGAUAAGCCUGGGAAACUGGGUCUAAUACUGGAUACGACAUGUCACCGCAUGGUGGUGUGUGGAAAGGGAUUUACUGGUUUUGGAUGGGCUCACGGCCUAUCAGCUUGUUGGUGGGGUAAUGGCUCACCAAGGCGACGACGGGUAGCCGGCCUGAGAGGGUGACCGGCCACACUGGGACUGAGACACGGCCCAGACUCCUACGGGAGGCAGCAGUGGGGAAUAUUGCACAAUGGGCGGAAGCCUGAUGCAGCGACGCCGCGUGUGGGAUGACGGCCUUCGGGUUGUAAACCUCUUUCAGCACGGAAGAAGCGAAAGUGACGGUACGUGCAGAAGAAGCGCCGGCUAACUACGUG
This 472-nucleotide ribosomal RNA is filed under the name uncultured bacterium. RNAcentral describes it as "partial 16S ribosomal RNA". It matches the Rfam family "Bacterial small subunit ribosomal RNA", at positions 28 to 507 of the family's 1533-position model. The record is from RNAcentral.